AUUGAACGCUGGCGGCAGGCCUAACACAUGCAAGUCGAGCGCGAGGCGGAGGGGUGUGUAAAGUAUGGGGGUCUGCCCGUUAGGGGGGGGGAACAACUGUGAACGCUGGCUCAUAUAGCAUACUCUAGCAUGAACGCAUAUGGGAUUUGCUCGUAGGUAUGGUAAUGGCUUACCAAGGCGACGAUCCCUAGCUGGUCUGAGAGGAUGAUCAGCCACACUGGAACUGAGACACGGCCCAGACUCCUACGGGAGGCAGCAGUGGGGAAUAUUGCACAAUGGGCGCAAGCCUGAUGCAGCCAUGCCGCGUGUAUGAAGAAGGCCCUAGGGUUGUAAAGUACUUUCAGCCGGGAGGCGUUACCGACAGAAGAAGCACCGGCUAACUCCGUGCCAGCAGCCGCGGUAAUAC
This 406-nucleotide ribosomal RNA is filed under the name uncultured bacterium. RNAcentral describes it as "partial 16S ribosomal RNA". It matches the Rfam family "Bacterial small subunit ribosomal RNA", at positions 30 to 526 of the family's 1533-position model. The record is from RNAcentral.